UGACCUCAAAUCAGGNAGGAAUANCCGCUGAACUUAAGCAUAUCAAUAAGCGGAGGA
Molecule: ribosomal RNA, 57 nt
Filed under: Meyerozyma guilliermondii
Lineage: Eukaryota; Fungi; Ascomycota; Pichiomycetes; Serinales; Debaryomycetaceae
Description: partial 25S ribosomal RNA
Rfam family: Eukaryotic large subunit ribosomal RNA
Source: RNAcentral